AGAGUUUGAUCAUGGCUCAGGACAAACGCUGGCGGGGUGCGUGAGACAUGCAAGUCGAACGAGGUGCCAUCGGGCUUGCUCGAUGGCUACCUAGUGGCGGACGGCUGAGUAACGCGUAGGUGACCUGCCCGGAAGUGGGGAAUAACUGCCCGAAAGGGUGGCUAAUACCGCAUGUGGUCGGCGAUUCGGUUCGCCGACUAAAGGAGCAAUCCGCUUCCGGAGGGGCCUGCGUCCGAUUAGCUAGUUGGUGAGGUAACGGCCCACCAAGGCGACGAUCGGUAGCUGGUCUGAGAGGAUGAUCAGCCAGACUGGGACUGAGACACGGCCCAGACUCCUACGGGAGGCAGCAGUCGGGAAUUUUGCCCAAUGAGCGAAAGCUUGAGGCAGCAACUCCGCGUGAGGGACGAAGGCCUUCGGGUUGUAAACCUCUUUUCUCAGGGAAGAUACAAGACGGUACCUGAGGAAUAAGCCACGGCUAACUACGUGCCAGCAGCCGCGGUAAUACGUAGGUGGCGAGCGUUGUCCGGAUUUACUGGGCGUAAAGAGCGCGCAGGCGGCUGGCCAAGUCCGAUGUGAAAGCUCCCGGCUUAACUGGGAAACUGCAUCGGAAACUGACCGGCUUGAAGGUGGGAGAGGGUAGUGGAAUUCCCGGUGUAGUGGUGAAAUGCGUAGAUAUCGGGAGGAACACCAGUGGCGAAGGCGACUACCUGGCCCACUCUUGACGCUGAGGCGCGAAAGCUAGGGGAGCAAACGGGAUUAGAUACCCCCGUAGUCC
This 775-nucleotide ribosomal RNA is filed under the name uncultured soil bacterium. Its description in RNAcentral is "bacterial SSU rRNA". It matches the Rfam family "Bacterial small subunit ribosomal RNA", at positions 8 to 796 of the family's 1533-position model. The record is from RNAcentral.